Long non-coding RNA from Pygocentrus nattereri (red-bellied piranha), 3495 nucleotides. RefSeq lists it as uncharacterized. The transcript is spliced from 5 exons. The record is from RefSeq and is a predicted model, not a curated record. NCBI's taxonomy places the organism in Eukaryota, Metazoa, Chordata, Actinopteri, Characiformes, Serrasalmidae.
CAAAAGUAGGAUUUACACCUGCCACAACUGCCACACUGAGUAAACGGUGUGGGGGAACAUUUCUGUGGAAUUUUGUGAAGAACUAGUGACCGAUUUCAACUAAAAUACUCCGUCAUCCUGUCGUGUGGCCCGAAGGUCAGUCAUGCAGCCCUGCAGUUCUGCUCUUUGUGUCCUGAUCUUACUGACCACUACAGUUUCUACCGUGUAUGUAUCAGCUGUUCCUUCAGUGAAGGUGAAGCUUCAUGAGUCUGCUACUCUGCCCUGCUCUGAGAGAUGUUCUGGUUUGGUCAGAUGGACUGUGUUCCAUAAAUCCACUGAUGUUCUGGCUGAGUGUGAUCAGACUUCAUGUAGAUCAGUGAAGGAGGGAUAUCAGAUGAUCCAUGAUCAGUACCUGAAGGGAGAUCUCUCUCUCAUCACCACUGACGCUGAUUUCAGUAAGAGAGUCCUCUAGACAUCUGACUGUGAUGGUAAAGAUCUCUGUGAUGUCCAGCUCCAGAUUGAGCCCUUGAGAUCUCCAAUUCAGAUUAAGCCUGGCAAGUCUCUGAUGCUGAAGCUAGAAAUAUCAGAUCCAGUGGAGGUGAUUUAUAACAGUACAGGUGCAGCAGGACCAUCCAGUGGUCACAUCUGUACAGUGAAUGGACGCUUGCUACAUUGUAAACAGGAAUAUAAACAGAAAGCAUCACUAACAUGUGCUCUUGAGUUGAGAGGAAUGAAGACAUCUGACAGUGGAGUUUAUACUAUAAAAGACAAAAGGAGUGAAGAGGUCAUUCACAUCCACACAGUGUCCGUGGGGUCAGCAGGCGGAGGUGAAAAAAAAGAUGACCAUCCAGAUCUGGACACAGAUAGAGGAGCUGCUGUUCCAGUGUGGGCUUUUUACAGUGGACACUGUAACCACAGUUGGGAAAAACAGAAACCGAAAACCGUCACACCCCGUUGUCGAAUGUCCAACCCUUCAUUAAAGAUGAACUGUUGCGUUUUGGUCAGUGUGUGUCAAAUGGUUUUGGGUGUGGACAAGAGGGGCAUGAGAGGGCAGAGGAACUCUGAACUCUGAACUCAAACUCUGAGCCCAUGAGGGGUAACACAGGCUCCCAGAACAGCUGGAGGAGAGUGCAGCAGAUCCCAGGGCAGGGAGUGUGGCUUGACGCAGACCCUGAUAUACAGAUACAAGAUGAGGAGAUGGUUCAUCUGACAAGCAGACUGGCUACUUUUCAUUUAUUAUAAAAAUUGCUGGCUGGUUCAGUGGACUUGGUGUGAAGGAAGGUGGUCAACGUUAUUCUGCGUAAAGCAAACAGCCUUGAAUUGGACACUGCUUUGUUUUUUAUCGAGGAUUAUUUAAGUUCUGGACACUGUUUAAGACUGACAGAUUGGAACCAAGCAAUUCCCUUUUCUGGCUGAUGGAGGAGCCAUUGAUCACAGGACCACACUUGGAUGUGGCUAGUGAAGGUGAACCUGGCCUCACUCAGUCUUUUGGUGCCUCCAGCCUCCUUAAACUAUGGCACUUAGUGGAUUCUGCUGGAUGGGGCUGGUGGACACCCAUGCCAUUGCUUCCAUUUAGGCCAGAUGUCCAUUCACCAUAUUAAGACUGCUGGGGGAAACAGCUGAACCUAGAAGAUUGGUCCUUACUACAGAGCUCCUGGAGUGGGAGACUUGAAAGACUUAAACCUCUUUUUUUGGUUUAUAAAGUGUGGAGAAGUUUAAUGACACGUUUUUUUAUUUUCACAGCUGGCUAUAACCAGAAAGAAAGAACAAAAUGCUUAACUUUGCUGUUGGUCAGGCUAAGCUUGCAGUUUAUAAUUCAAGAAGAAACAAAGUAGAUCUGGUCACGAUGUUUAGGCUUCAUAAAGCAAUAAACAAAAGAGAGUUGGUCUUUGCCAGUCCUUGGGGCUGACAGUGUUUAGGAGCAGUCAUGUUAUGUGGGCUGGAGGUUAGAGAACCAGCCCUGUGACUGGAAGGUUGUCGGUUCGAUCCCCUUGCCUGACAGUCCAUGACUGAAGUGCCCUUGAGCAAAUUGCUCCCUGGGUGCCCCACUGGGGCAAGCCUGCCCCCUAGUGUGCAUGUAUGUGGGUGUUUCACUGCAUGGGUCUAAUUUCAAAGUGUCCAAAAGUUGUAAAAUCUAUGUGUGAAGCACUGUAUUCUGCCCUCACUUCUUCAGCAGAUAGAUAACUUGUCCAAACACUCUUGAGGUUUAAAGGGAUUUAUUUGCUGUCACCACUCAGUGGAAGAGUGCGCCAGGAACUCAGUAAAACUACAACACAAAAUGGUUCAAAUGAACAUACACUAGUGCAAAUAGAUCCUGCACAACUCAGUUGCCUUGCCCACUAUGUUUAACAGCUAGGAGGCUUAAUAACAUGCAAUCAUUCACAUUUUCAACAUCAAAUAACUUGCUAAUAUGAAACUUUAGCAUGAUAGUAUUGUGUCUGCUUACAGACGAUGCUUGGAUGAAUGAUUGCAUACAUGGAAGGAGAUGCUCAUCAGAACAGUAAGCUGUGCAAUGCUGUGCUCACCAUGUGCUCUGCUGCCAUUGAAGAAACAGGAAAUUGCAUGACCUAGUGCCAAGUAGUACUAAGUAAUUGUGCCACCUAGUGGCAAAAGGUAAUAUCAACACAAUAAAAACACAAUAGCAACACAAGCCAGAACACUGUGUUUCUGAUUUGAAGUGACUGAAUAAAAGUCUCUGUAAAAAUCAAACCCUUUCUCUCCCUGUGCUCUUUGUACCUGUGUGUGAGAGUGACUGACCAUGUGCAUCGGUAGGAAGAGUAAAGCCCUGUCUUACAUCCAUCCAGUGUGAGGGGCCAACCCUGCAAGAUGCCAGAAGUUCAGAGAACUCCAAUUCCCAGAAGCCCGUAGGCUGAUUAGGCCAGGUCUGGUACACCUGUGGACUCCUCUACUUAAGGCUGUGGCAAACAGCAGCAAUUCGUCACACCUUCGUGAUGACCGGUAUGGUACUCAGUCCAGGUGGAUAUUUAGACACAAAGGAAAAAGAAAAGAAACCAGAAAGAAAAGGGCUGGAGAAAAAAACAAGAGACAAAUUGCCCCAAAACUACUUAAAAACCAAAAAGAAGGCCUGAACAAGAAAACGGCUCCAAGCUGUUCAAAUGUAUUUGCUCCUCUAGAGCAAACAGGUGAAACGUGAAGUCUACCUUCCUCUCAUAACCACAGAUUUGAUUUCUGAUCAUCUUUUAUUUCACUUUUUAUAUCCUGGCCUUUGUCUGAGCACUGCUUUUUUGCCUGUGCUUCUCAGUGACGCAGUGGAGACUCCUUGGCCCACCAUUCAGCACAUCAAUGGUUUGGGCCUGACUCUAAGGCACUUCAACUCCAACGUGCACAAUCACCCAAUUCACGCUCCAUAACUUUGUCAGUGUCCCUGCAGUGCUGAGAAUGAUCUCUAUAUGUCCCAUACAUAGAGGCUCUGAGGAAGAGCGUGUUAGUCUGCACCCUGGAAGCUUGGUAGUAUCAUGUGGGGAGAUAUGGGACAUGAAUAAAAGAGUGAAACAC